ACAGGAAAAACCACUGGCAUUAAGUGAAGCAAAAUGAAUUAGCUAAAAAGAGAGAAAAGAAUUAACAGAAAAAUAAACCUUAAUUCACUCCAGUGCUGGUAGGAUUUGGUAUUUAACUGUAAUCCUGUGUUUCAUUCUGUGUCAGGGACAAAUACCUGUUUUGUGUGUCCCCUGACAAUUCCUGCCAUUAGCUGAAAGCGUUUAUUCCCUGAGCUGUGUGCCAUCAGUUGAUGAUGCUGGACACUUACAGAAGAGAGGUUUUGGCAGGAAAACUCUUUAACAUUUGGAACAUUAUUAUGAAACAUAAUAUUGUUUUUUGUAGAUCAGUCCAAAGCUAUUCCGUGCAAAUUGUUGCAUUCUCUUCCUUGGUGUCAGCUGGAGCAGAGGGGGAAACCACAUCCCUAAAAGUAAGAAAACAGACCAAAAAUGCUUCAAUACCAAGGAAUAAACUCCCUAUUGGACUUUUUCUUGAUAGUUCUGUAAAGCUGCUGAAGACAGAAAUGGUACACACAGAUUUUUGGUGUCAGAUCAGUGCUUUGCAUUUAUGUGAUCGUUUACACCUGUGCAAAGUAAGUGUUUGGUAGCAUUUGACAGCUGAUUUAGUAAAGUUUGACACCUAUAUUACAAUGUUGAAAUGACUUUACAAUGUGCAAAGCGGUGGAAAAAGCUCUGAUUCUUUUCAUGGCUUUUUUCUUAUAGCUGAAUAUUGAAAUUCCAUUCCAAAGGAAAAAAAUUAUAAUUCCUCACAUCCUGACUGUAAUUCUUUAUUUUUUUUGGUAUGUUAUGUUCUGCUCAUACUAACUUGGGAGGAAAAAAAGAAGAAAGCAUACAAGGAAAGGAUAAAAGCAAUUAUGUUUAAUCCACAGCCUGGAUUCACAGGUGCUGACUCUUACACCAAACCAAACCCAGCUGAAAGGAGACACAGGGAAGUGAGAAUUCUGCCACUGGGAUGAGAAACCCUGCAGGACUAGGACCCCUACUUUCUGGAAGCUGUUCCUGAUGCAAUGUAUGGCUGCAAAGGGUUUUUCACAUUCUCUUCUCUAGAUUCGUGACCAUGGACAGGUGGUUCUGGGCCAAACUCAGUCAUGUGGUGGCUUGUAAAGGACUGAGGUGUCUAAUUGCUGCACCCCUGCACUGUCACUGCCAGCUUGUGGUGCUGUGGGAAUCCCUGAGAGCAGAGCAGGAGAGAAAGAUGCCUGAACUGUGAUCAGGACAGGAACAGCCUGGGAGAAGCUCUGUGCUGGUGUUUCUCUGUAGCCCAGGAUCCAAACUGGAGUUACUGGAGCGGGCAGUGGAGGCGAGAGCAGAGCAGAGCUGCAAACUCUGUCCAUGCCAAGCUGUGCCUGGGCAGGGACUCUUCCCACAUCAGAGCUGCUGCUGUGAGCAAUUCCUGUACAAAAUUCACACUGUGGUCACUGACAGCCUCCUCACACCAAAGCUUUUCAGAAAUAUAAUUUUAUCCACCAGAUACAGCUAUGAGCAGUCCCACUGGUGCAGUGCAAGCACCUGGACCAUAUUAUUUGAAGAAAAUAACUUUGGGAAUCCUGUUUCCACUCACGCUGCUUCUGUUUGGCUGAGCAGGGGAUAAGUGUGUCCUCACACUGGAGGAAGAACCAUUUUUCUUCUCUUUAUUGCCCUGGUCUCUAGAUCUCAAAUUAUCUGAAAUACUGUCUUAGUUAAGUUCAUAUUGCUCUGCCCUUCAGGUCAUAGCAGAUGCCAGGACCAGAAUAUUCUCUAAAACACUGGCAGCUGUUUGUUUGAGUGGACUUUUAUAGGUCUGAAGCCUCAUUAGCUGUUUUCAUGACCUGAAUACUAAUUUAGCAGUGUGCUUUUUAGGCUCUGGGUCUGAACACUCAGAAAAUUCCAAUUAAUUUCAAUCUAUAGAUACUAGUUAUCCUUACUUAAAACAAUAUGAAUUAGUUUAAUAAAUACCUUUUAUGCCAAUAGAAAUUCUAUGUAAGUAUAGCAGCUGAUUAACAGAAUCCCUGUAAUAAAGUAUUUUAUGUCAAGAUGUCCCACGUACAGGAAAAAAUAAAUUGUUGGGUCAAGUGGCAAGUGAAAGAUAUUCAGGAUUGGUAACACCUCAUUAAAAACCAUUUCAACUGCCCUAAGGCAAGAUGUUAAUACACAGUAAUUGUCUGCCCAGAGUGAAUCUUUUUGCAGUUACAUGAAUAAUGCAAAGUAACUAAAUAUGCUUGUUUAUGUAUUUAACAUAUUCACUAUAACUUCAAAGCUAAAGACUCAUUUUUUUUAGUGUUUUAUGCUACAAUCACAAGUUCACAAAUAGGAGAAAGAAGGAUAAAAACACCCCCUUCUACAACUGCAAACUUCACUUGCAGAAAACAAAGUAUGAAAAUAAUUUAAUUAGGGUAUCUGUGAAUCCCAUGGAAUUAGUAGUGCUGCUACAUCUGCACUUAUCUUGUUGCUCCAAUAAAAAUGUAAAUAAAUAAUAGAACACCAUUAAUUGUAAUUUAAACAGUGUAAGUGAUGCCUAUUGCUGCAUAGAAAAUUACAGAAUGUUUUCCAACUGCCUUUGUGAAAUUGCGUAUGUGUUUUUAGCAUUUUAGCAAAGAAUAGCUGUAAGUAGUGGGACAAAAAUUCCAGUAAAUCUCAAGUACCCUCGCAAACAGAACACAAUCUGCAUCUUCAAUCUGCCUGUAGAAAAGGAAUUUGAGAUUUAUCCAUCU
Passer domesticus (house sparrow) is the source of this 2687-nucleotide long non-coding RNA. RefSeq lists it as uncharacterized. NCBI's taxonomy places the organism in Eukaryota, Metazoa, Chordata, Aves, Passeriformes, Passeridae. The transcript is spliced from 3 exons. The record is from RefSeq and is a predicted model, not a curated record.